Molecule: ribosomal RNA, 408 nt
Filed under: uncultured bacterium
Lineage: Bacteria
Description: partial 16S ribosomal RNA
Rfam family: Bacterial small subunit ribosomal RNA
Source: RNAcentral
GACGAACGCUGGCGGCGUGCUUAAAACAUGCAAGUCGAACGAAGUGGCGAACGGGUGAGUAACGCGUAAGCAACCUGCCCUUCAGAGGGGGACAACAGUUGGAAAAGACUGCUAAUACCGCAUACUGUAGGAGGGGAUUGCGUGUGCGUAGGUAGUGGGAGGGGUAAUGGCCCACAAAGGCGAUGAUCAGUAGCCGGGCUUGGAGGAUGACCGGCUACAUUGGGACUGAGACACGGCCCAGACUCCUACGGGAGGCAGCAGUGGGGAAUCUUCCGCAAUGGACGAAAGUCUGACGGAGCAACGCCGCGUGAGUGAUGACGGCUUUCGGGUUGUAAAGCUCUGUUAAUCGGGACGCGGUACCGGAAUAGAAAGCCACGGCUAACUACGUGCCAGCAGCCGCGGUAAUUC